AGUCGAACGGCAGCACGGACUUCGGUCUGGUGGGCGAGGGCGAACGGGUGAGUAAUGUAUCGGAACGUGCCUAGUAGCGGGGGAUAACUACGUAGUCAAUACCGCAUACGCCCUUCGGGAAAGCGGGGACCUUCGCCUCGCACUAGAGCGUCAGAUAUCGGAUUAGCUAGUUGGUGGUAACGGCUCACCAAGGGGCGACGAUCCGUGGCUGGUUUGAGAGGACUGACCAGCCACAAGGACUGGAGACACGGCCCAGACUCCUACGGAGGCAGCAGUGGGAAUUUUUGACAAUGGGGAAACCCCGAUCCAAGUCAUCCCGCGUGUGCGCGAGGCGAAGGCCUCGGGUUGUAAAAAGCACUUUUGGCAGGAAGAACGCACGGGAUAAUACCCCGUGCAACUGACGGUACCUGCAGAAUAAGCACCGGCUAACUACGUGCCAGCAGCCGUAAUACGUGGUAGGGUGCAAGCGUUAAUCGGAAUUACUGGGCGGUAAAGCGUGCGCAGGCGGUUCGGAAAGAAAGAUGGGAAACUCAGAGCUUAACUUUGGAACUGCAUUUAACUACCGAGCUAGAGUGUGUCAGAGGGAGGUGGAAUUCCCAAGUGUAGCAGUGAAAUGCGUAGAUAAGGUGAGUGAACACCGAUAGCGAAGGCAGCCUCCUGAUAACACUGACGCUCAUGCACGAAAGCGUGGGGAGCAAACAGGAUUAGAUAAUUGGUAGUCCACGCCCUAAACGAUGCUCAACUAGCUGUUGGGGCCUUCGGGCCUGGUAGCAGCUAACGCGUGAAGUUGACCGCCUGGGGAGUACGGUCGCAAGAUUAAAACUCAAAGGAAUUGACGGGACCCGCACAAGCGGUGGAUGAUGUGGAUUAAUUCGAUGCAACGCGAAAACCUUACCUACCCUUGACAUGUUCAAAUCCCGAAGAGAUUUGGGAGUGCUCGCAGAACCGGAACACAGGUGCUGCAUGGCUGUCGUCAGCUCGUGUCGUGAGAUGUUGGGUUAAGUCCCGCAACGAGCGCAACCCUUGUCAUUAGUUGCUACGAAAGGGCACCGACGAGACUGCCGGUGACAAACGGAGGAAGGUGGGAUGAUGUCAAGUCUCAAGGGUUCUUAUGGGUAGGGCUUCACACGUCAUACAAUGGUCGGACAGAGGGUCGCCAACCCGCGAGGGGGAGCCAAUCCCAGAAACCCGAUCGUAGUCCGGAUCGCCCGCACCGACUGCGUGAAGUCGGAAUCGCUAGUAAUCGCGGAUCAGCAUGUCGCGGUGAAUACGUUCCCGGGUCUUGCACGACACCGCCCGUCACACCAUGUGGAGGUUUUACCGAAGUGGAAGUUAGCCUUAACCGGGCAAGUGAGUGGCGAUUACCACGUAGACCACGAUUGGGGUGAAGUCGUAACAAGUAAC
This 1404-nucleotide ribosomal RNA is filed under the name uncultured Bordetella sp. RNAcentral's name for it is "partial 16S-23S ribosomal RNA intergenic spacer". It matches the Rfam family "Bacterial small subunit ribosomal RNA". Lineage: Bacteria; Pseudomonadati; Pseudomonadota; Betaproteobacteria; Burkholderiales; Alcaligenaceae. The record is from RNAcentral.